Molecule: ribosomal RNA, 468 nt
Filed under: uncultured bacterium
Lineage: Bacteria
Description: partial 16S ribosomal RNA
Rfam family: Bacterial small subunit ribosomal RNA
Source: RNAcentral
GACGAACGCUGGCGGCGUGCUUAACACAUGCAAGUCGAACGGAAAGGCCCUGCUUUUGUGGGGUGCUCGAUUGGCGAACGGGUGAGUAACACGUGAGUAUCCUGCCCUUGACUUUGGGAUAACUUCAGGAAACUGGGGCUAAUACCGGAUAGGAGCUCCUGCUGCAUGGUGGGGGUUGGAAAGUUUCGGCGGUUGGGGAUGGACUCGCGGCUAAUCAGCUUGUUGGUGGGGUAGUGGCUUACCAAGGCUGUGACGGGUAGCCGGCCUGGGAGGGUGACCGGCGACAUUGGGACUGAGAUACGGACCAGACUGGUACGGGAGGCAGUAGUGGGGAAUCUGGCACAAUGGGAGGAAGCGUGAUGCAGAAACGCUGCGUGCGGGAUGACGGCCUUCGGGUUGUAAACAGCUUUCGCCUGUGACGAAGCGUGAGUGACGGUAAUGGGUAAAGAAGCACCGGCUAACUACGUG